RNAcentral lists this ribosomal RNA (428 nucleotides) under uncultured prokaryote. RNAcentral's name for it is "bacterial SSU rRNA". It matches the Rfam family "Bacterial small subunit ribosomal RNA", at positions 355 to 774 of the family's 1533-position model. The record is from RNAcentral.
UGAGGAAUUUUGCGCAAUGGGCGCAAUCCUGACGCAGCAACGCCGCGUGGGUGAUGAAGGCCUUCGGGUCGUAAAGCCCUGUCAGGUGGGAAGAAUGUCCCGGGACUGUACAGGUUCCGGGAGUGACGGUACCACCAGAGGAAGCACCGGCUAACUCCGUGCCAGCAGCCGCGGUAAUACGGAGGGUGCGAGCGUUAUUCGGAAUUACUGGGCGUAAAGCGCGUGUAGGUGGUCCCGCAAGUCUGAUGUGAAAGCCCCGGGCUUAACCCGGGAAGUGCAUUGGAAACUGUGGGACUUGAGUACUGGAGAGGAUGGGGGAAUUCCCGGUGUAGAGGUGAAAUUCGUAGAGAUCGGGAGGAAUAUCAGUGGCGAAGGCGCCCAUCUGGACGGUAACUGACGCUGAGACGCGAAAGCGUGGGGAGCAAACA